Spodoptera litura is the source of this 242-nucleotide non-coding RNA. Lineage: Eukaryota; Metazoa; Arthropoda; Insecta; Lepidoptera; Noctuidae. The record is from RefSeq and is a predicted model, not a curated record.
AGAAAAAGCAGGGAAAGGAGACAAAGCAGCAGUAGCAGGAAAAACAGGAAAACCAUGCCGUCAACCACCAAUGGCACAAUCGCCAGCAUCAACAAAAUCGUCGAGACCUGGAUCAGGAAAAUCCAGUAAGACAGGGUCACCAGGCUCACAAUCUCCAACUAAGCCAGAGAAAGCAGGAAAAGUAGGAAAAGCAGAGAAACCAGCUAAACCAGCAAAGCCAGCAAAACCAGAAAAACCACCAA